GAGGCCACUGCUAUCGGAGUUCGAUUAAGCCAUGCGAGUCGAGAGGUGCAAGACCUCGGCAUACUGCUCAGUAACACGUGGACAAUCUAACCUAUGGAAGGGGAUAACCCCGGGAAACUGGGGAUAAUACCCUAUAGACUAUGGAUGCUGGAAUGCUUUGUAGUCGAAAGGUCCGCCGCCAUAGGAUGGGUCUGCGGCCUAUCAGGUAGUAGUGGGUGUAGCGUACCUACUAGCCUACGACGGGUACGGGUUGUGAGAGCAAGAGCCCGGAGAUGGAUUCUGAGACACGAGUCCAGGCCCUACGGGGUGCAGCAGGCGCGAAAACUUUACAAUGCUGGCAACAGCGAUAAGGGAACCUCGAGUGCCAGGUUACAAAUCUGGCUGUCGAGAUGCCUAAAAAGCAUUUCAUAGCAAGGGCCGGGCAAGACCGGUGCCAGCCGCCGCGGUAACACCGGCGGCUCGAGUGGUAACCGUUAUUAUUGGGUCUAAAGGGUCUGUAGCCGGCCGGAUAAGUCUCUUGAGAAAUCUGGCAGCUUAACUGUCAGGCUUUCAGGAGAUACUGUCUGGCUCGAGGCCGGGAGAGGUGAGAGGUACUUCAGGGGUAGGGGUGAAAUCUUGUAAUCCUUGAAGGACCACCAGUGGCGAAGGCGUCUCACCAGAACGGACCUGACGGCAAGGGACGAAAGCUAGGGGCACGAACCGGAUUAGAUACCCGGGUAGUCCUAGCCGUAAACGAUACUCGCUAGGUGUCGGCCACGGUGCGACCGUUGUCGGUGCCGUAGGGAAGCCGUGAAGCGAGCCACCUGGGAAGUACGGCCGCAAGGCUGAAACUUAAAGGAAUUGGCGGGGGAGCACCACAACGGGUGGAGCUUGCGGUUU
RNAcentral lists this ribosomal RNA (879 nucleotides) under uncultured Methanosarcinales archaeon. Its description in RNAcentral is "bacterial SSU rRNA". It matches the Rfam family "Archaeal small subunit ribosomal RNA", at positions 20 to 903 of the family's 1478-position model. The record is from RNAcentral. Lineage: Archaea; Methanobacteriati; Methanobacteriota; Methanomicrobia; Methanosarcinales.